CCAGCAGCCGCGGUAAUUCCAGCACCAGUAGCGUAUGCUAAAGUUGUUGCAGUUAAAAAGCUCGUAGCUGAAAUUUGGGUCUGAGCCGCAAGGUCUGCCGGAAUGGUGUGUACCAGCGGUUCUUUCCUUCCUUUCGGUAUGCUGCCCUUCACGGGGUCAAGCUCCGGAUCUUUCACUGUGAAAAAAUUAGAGUGUUCAAAGCAGGCCUAAUUAUGCCUUGAAUAGUUCAGCAUGGGAUGAUAGAACAGGUCUUUGCGUCUAUUUUGUUGGUUUCUAGAGGGCAAAGAAAUGAUUAAUGGGAACAGUUAGGGGAAUUCGUAUUUAACAGUCAGAGGUGAAAUUCUUGGAUUUGUGAAAGACGAACUUCUGCGAAAGCAUUUUCCAGAGAUGCUUCCGUCAAUCAAGAACGAAAGU
RNAcentral lists this ribosomal RNA (414 nucleotides) under uncultured eukaryote. Its description in RNAcentral is "SSU rRNA". It matches the Rfam family "Eukaryotic small subunit ribosomal RNA", at positions 567 to 990 of the family's 1831-position model. The record is from RNAcentral.